AUUGAACGCUGGCGGCAGGCUUAACACAUGCAAGUCGAGCGGAGAUGAGGUGCUUGCACCUUAUCUUAGCGGCGGACGGGUGAGUAAUGCUUAGGAAUCUGCCUAUUAGUGGGGGACAACAUUCCGAAAGGAAUGCUAAUACCGCAUACGUCCUACGGGAGAAAGCAGGGGAUCUUAGGACCUUGCGCUAAUAGAUGAGCCUAAGUCGGAUUAGCUAGCUGGUGGGGUAAAGGCCUACCAAGGCGACGAUCUGUAGCGGGUCUGAGAGGAUGAUCCGCCACACUGGGACUGAGACACGGCCCAGACUCCUACGGGAGGCAGCAGUGGGGAAUAUUGGACAAUGGGGGAAACCCUGGUCCAGCCAUGCCGCGUGUGUGAAGAAGGCCUUAUGGUUGUGAAGCACUUUAAGCGAGGAGGAGGCUACUGAGACUAAUACUCUUGGAUAGUGGACGUUACUCGCAGAAUAAGCACCGGCUAACUCUGUGCCAGCAGCCGCAGUAA
This 501-nucleotide ribosomal RNA is filed under the name uncultured bacterium. RNAcentral describes it as "partial 16S ribosomal RNA". It matches the Rfam family "Bacterial small subunit ribosomal RNA", at positions 30 to 523 of the family's 1533-position model. The record is from RNAcentral.